GCAUAUCAAUAAGCGGAGGAAAAGAAACCAACAGGGAUUGCCUUAGUAACGGCGAGUGAAGCGGCAAUAGCUCAAAUUUGAAAUCUGGCGCCUUUAGGUGUCCGAGUUGUAAUUUGUAGAGGAUGUUUUGGUAUUAGCUCCGGUUUAAGUCCCUUGGAACAGGGCGUCAUAGAGGGUGAGAAUCCCGUAUGUGACUGGCUGCUUUUGCCAUGUAAAACUCCUUCGACGAGUCGAGUUGUUUGGGAAUGCAGCUCUAAUUGGGAGGUAAAUUUCUUCUAAAGCUAAAUACUGGCCAGAGACCGAUAGCGCACAAGUAGAGUGAUCGAAAGAUGAAAAGCACUUUGGAAAGAGAGUUAAAAAGUACGUGAAAUUGUUGAAAGGGAAGCGCUUGCAAUCAGACCUGCUUGUAGUUGUUCAUCUAGGCUUUUGUCUAGUGCAUUCUUCUGCAAGUCAGGCCAGUAUCAGUUCAGGCGGUUGAAUAAAGAAUUCAGGAAUGUAGCUCCUUUUGGGGAGUGUUAUAGCCUGUUUUGUAAUGCAGCCAGCCCGGAUUGAGGACCGCGCUUCGGCUAGGAUACUGGCGUAAUGGUUGUAAGCGGCCCGUCUUGAAACACGGACCAAGGAGUCUAACAUCUGUGCAAGUGUUUGGGUGCUAAACCCAUACGCGUAAUGAAAGUGAACGGAGGCGGGAACCUUUUUUAGGUGCACCGUCGACCGAUCCUGAUGUCUUCGGAUGGAUUUGAGUAAGAGCAUAGCUGUUGGGACCCGAAAGAUGGUGAACUAUGCUUGAAUAGGGUGAAGCCAGAGGAAACUCUGGUGGAGGCUCGCAGCGGUUCUGACGUGCAAAUCGAUCGUCAAAUUUGGGCAUAGGGGCGAAAGACUAAUCGAACUAUCUAGUAGCUGGUUCCUGCCGA
RNAcentral lists this ribosomal RNA (911 nucleotides) under Mytilinidion scolecosporum. RNAcentral describes it as "LSU rRNA". It matches the Rfam family "Eukaryotic large subunit ribosomal RNA", at positions 38 to 964 of the family's 3401-position model. Lineage: Eukaryota; Fungi; Ascomycota; Dothideomycetes; Mytilinidiales; Mytilinidiaceae. The record is from RNAcentral.